GCAGCCAUUACAAGUAGAACGGAGUUCACCUGUGGGUAAUCAAGGUGUCGUUUGACUUCAGAAGAAAUCAAUCUUAAGACCUUCAAGCCCCCAGAGGUUUUUAAACAUCAACAACUUCUCUAAACAAACAUCAAGAUCAAUAAGCUAGCAAAAGAAAAAUGAUCCAUUCAUGACAUAAUCGAAGAAAGAACCUGGAAAAAAGCUGUGAGGAGGAUAUGAAGGUAGAGAUGAAACACCAACAGUUGCAGAAACUACGUGAUCUUUCGCACCCGCCCCACUCGUCAGAUUUGACACCACUGUAGACCAGCGUGAAUCGUAGAAGGUGCUUGACACGCUUCCAGGUCUCAUUCUUGAAGGGGCAGAAUUGCUGGGAGCACUGUAUUGCUGUGCAGAGACUAUUUGAAAGCAUCUCUGACGAAACACUUAACUUACAUCACAAGACAUAAAGGAGUUCUGCCAUCUUGAUUGUUUGCACAGACGGCGAGCAGCUAAUUAUGCCGAGGCUCAUGGAGCAGCUGAAGGUGCCGUUGUGGCAGGUGCAGUGCAAUGGUGUAAUGUAUAACGGCACAUACACUCUGUUCCGGCAGGAGUUUCUGCUAUGCCGUGCCACAGCGAUGCCAUGCCAGACCCAAGUCCAGGGGAAACUGCUCAUUGACGUGUUUGAGGUCAGAGGAUUAACUACAGUUUCCCCUUACAGAACAUAAAUCAUACAGCACAGUACAAAAGUCACUUCCUAGAACUGUGCUUGCGUCAUCAUUUUUAUUUAUUUUUUUUUAAAAAAUGAAUGCAAGCAUUUACAUCAACCAUUUUUUUUUUUAUUUGUUUAGUGGGAAACAUGUUUUAAGAUGUAUGAGACGCUCUUGUAUGGAAUGCAUUUGUGUAUUCAUGAUAUGGCUCUCAGAAUUGACACACACUAAAUACAUGAAUAAGUAUUAUUAGUUUUGAUGAUGAUUAAAUGUGUACUAUAUGCA
Silurus meridionalis is the source of this 971-nucleotide long non-coding RNA. RefSeq lists it as uncharacterized. NCBI's taxonomy places the organism in Eukaryota, Metazoa, Chordata, Actinopteri, Siluriformes, Siluridae. The record is from RefSeq and is a predicted model, not a curated record. The transcript is spliced from 6 exons.